This 1550-nucleotide ribosomal RNA is filed under the name Klebsiella pneumoniae. RNAcentral describes it as "bacterial SSU rRNA". It matches the Rfam family "Bacterial small subunit ribosomal RNA". Lineage: Bacteria; Pseudomonadati; Pseudomonadota; Gammaproteobacteria; Enterobacterales; Enterobacteriaceae. The record is from RNAcentral. RNAcentral also lists the same sequence under 2 other names.
AAAUUGAAGAGUUUGAUCAUGGCUCAGAUUGAACGCUGGCGGCAGGCCUAACACAUGCAAGUCGAGCGGUAGCACAGAGAGCUUGCUCUCGGGUGACGAGCGGCGGACGGGUGAGUAAUGUCUGGGAAACUGCCUGAUGGAGGGGGAUAACUACUGGAAACGGUAGCUAAUACCGCAUAACGUCGCAAGACCAAAGUGGGGGACCUUCGGGCCUCAUGCCAUCAGAUGUGCCCAGAUGGGAUUAGCUAGUAGGUGGGGUAACGGCUCACCUAGGCGACGAUCCCUAGCUGGUCUGAGAGGAUGACCAGCCACACUGGAACUGAGACACGGUCCAGACUCCUACGGGAGGCAGCAGUGGGGAAUAUUGCACAAUGGGCGCAAGCCUGAUGCAGCCAUGCCGCGUGUGUGAAGAAGGCCUUCGGGUUGUAAAGCACUUUCAGCGGGGAGGAAGGCGGUGAGGUUAAUAACCUCAUCGAUUGACGUUACCCGCAGAAGAAGCACCGGCUAACUCCGUGCCAGCAGCCGCGGUAAUACGGAGGGUGCAAGCGUUAAUCGGAAUUACUGGGCGUAAAGCGCACGCAGGCGGUCUGUCAAGUCGGAUGUGAAAUCCCCGGGCUCAACCUGGGAACUGCAUUCGAAACUGGCAGGCUAGAGUCUUGUAGAGGGGGGUAGAAUUCCAGGUGUAGCGGUGAAAUGCGUAGAGAUCUGGAGGAAUACCGGUGGCGAAGGCGGCCCCCUGGACAAAGACUGACGCUCAGGUGCGAAAGCGUGGGGAGCAAACAGGAUUAGAUACCCUGGUAGUCCACGCCGUAAACGAUGUCGAUUUGGAGGUUGUGCCCUUGAGGCGUGGCUUCCGGAGCUAACGCGUUAAAUCGACCGCCUGGGGAGUACGGCCGCAAGGUUAAAACUCAAAUGAAUUGACGGGGGCCCGCACAAGCGGUGGAGCAUGUGGUUUAAUUCGAUGCAACGCGAAGAACCUUACCUGGUCUUGACAUCCACAGAACUUUCCAGAGAUGGAUUGGUGCCUUCGGGAACUGUGAGACAGGUGCUGCAUGGCUGUCGUCAGCUCGUGUUGUGAAAUGUUGGGUUAAGUCCCGCAACGAGCGCAACCCUUAUCCUUUGUUGCCAGCGGUUAGGCCGGGAACUCAAAGGAGACUGCCAGUGAUAAACUGGAGGAAGGUGGGGAUGACGUCAAGUCAUCAUGGCCCUUACGACCAGGGCUACACACGUGCUACAAUGGCAUAUACAAAGAGAAGCGACCUCGCGAGAGCAAGCGGACCUCAUAAAGUAUGUCGUAGUCCGGAUUGGAGUCUGCAACUCGACUCCAUGAAGUCGGAAUCGCUAGUAAUCGUAGAUCAGAAUGCUACGGUGAAUACGUUCCCGGGCCUUGUACACACCGCCCGUCACACCAUGGGAGUGGGUUGCAAAAGAAGUAGGUAGCUUAACCUUCGGGAGGGCGCUUACCACUUUGUGAUUCAUGACUGGGGUGAAGUCGUAACAAGGUAACCGUAGGGGAACCUGCGGUUGGAUCACCUCCUUACCUUAAAGAA